RNAcentral lists this transfer RNA (84 nucleotides) under Cotesia glomerata. RNAcentral describes it as "tRNA-Ser". It matches the Rfam family "tRNA". From Rfam's summary of the family: Transfer RNA (tRNA) molecules are approximately 80 nucleotides in length. Their secondary structure includes four short double-helical elements and three loops (D, anti-codon, and T loops). Lineage: Eukaryota; Metazoa; Arthropoda; Insecta; Hymenoptera; Braconidae. The record is from RNAcentral.
GACGAGGUGGCCGAGAGUGGUUAAGGCGUUGGACUGCUAAUCCAAUGUGCUCUGCACGCGUGGGUUCAAACUCCAUCUUCGUCG